RNAcentral lists this ribosomal RNA (266 nucleotides) under uncultured archaeon. Its description in RNAcentral is "partial 16S ribosomal RNA". It matches the Rfam family "Archaeal small subunit ribosomal RNA", at positions 717 to 982 of the family's 1478-position model. The record is from RNAcentral.
ACACGACUACAUUAGAUACCCGGGUAGUCCUAGCCGUAAACGAUACUCGCUAGGUGUCGGCCACGGUGCGACCGUUGUCGGUGCCGUAGGGAAGCCGUGAAGCGAGCCACCUGGGAAGUACGGCCGCAAGGCUAGAAACUUAAAGGAAUUGGCGGGGGAGCACAACAACGGGUGGAGCUUGCGGUUUAAUUGGAUUCAACGCCGGAAAUCUUACCGGGACCGACAGCAACAUGAAGGCCAGGCUGAAGACUUUGCCGGAUUAGCUG